Long non-coding RNA from Podarcis raffonei (Aeolian wall lizard), 1115 nucleotides. RefSeq lists it as uncharacterized. NCBI's taxonomy places the organism in Eukaryota, Metazoa, Chordata, Lepidosauria, Squamata, Lacertidae. The transcript is spliced from 2 exons. The record is from RefSeq and is a predicted model, not a curated record.
UGUGACAUAUGUAUGAUGUAUCUAUGAUGGAUGCAUGAUGUUUCCCCAGAGGAGAAAGGGAAAACUUAUAAAAAAGGAAGCAUCCCUUUGUUCAGGGCUUCUUCCUGCUUCUCCCAUGUGGUGGGUGGGAGUCCUGUUGCAACAGCCUUUGAUUAAAGACCAGGCCUGCAGGCUGCUGUUUUGCUUCUAUACUCCUGGCUGGUGUCUUUGUUUGAGCCCCAGGAUUUCCCUUUAGCAUGUGCAUGCAGCAGCCUAGGGACCCCCGACUCAUUUCUCACCUGCCACUUCUCCACAAUAAGUUGCAAUGUACGUUUCUACAGCUGUAGAUUUCUGCAGUCGGUUGCCCAUGUGGGGUUACAACCAGCCCUGGAGAUUUGGGUGCCGCUAACAGUAGAGGGAGCAGCCCAUUGUGCAGAGAGAGAGAACUAGGGUGGAUUUUGUCCCUUGAGUUCUUUCAUAAAUUGCUUUUUGAACCUUUCAGAAGUAAAACAUUUAAUCAGAGAUCGUAUAUUCUGUUUGGAACACUGAAGAGUGGAAUCAUCUCAGUAGAUAUUGAAGAAACGCCACAUCCGUACAUUUGUGAGAAGGCAGCCAGCCCUGAGCAACCAUUUCCUGCUUGAGAGGCCACUGCUGGUCCUAGCCGCACAAAUCGGGACGUCUCAGGACCUUCAACUGGUGGACCUAGCCCUGACUCCGAAGAAGGGACGGCGCCUCUGGAGCUGCUGUGGCCUCAGAGAUCUGCUGGAACAACUGGACAUGAGAAGGGGUCACUUUCCUUCAUGAAUGUAAAUCUCCCCAUGGAUGAGCUAAUCCCAGGUGCAAGGUCAGCCAAGCCAGUUGCUAUGAUGACAGCCCAGUGCCCCAGCUAUAUUUGUAAUUAAUGCAUGUCAGCUCAGGAGUGUCAGUCUGUGAGUCUGCAGUUAGUCUGUCUGUCUGGGUGUCUGUUAUUUGUGUCGCUUGCCCAAUGCUGCAUCUCGAAUGGCUCAACUUGGAGCAACGGAGAUCAUUUGUACUUGUAGGUGUAUCUGUAUCUGCAAAAGCCUACCAGCUGUAUCAACAUUUGGAACUGUUUGACUGAGCCUUAUCUUCUGCAACAAUAAACUAUCUGAAACUUU